GGCGAUCUUGGCGAUCGGGAAGCCGGUGGCCUUGGAAGCCAGCGCCGAGCUGCGCGACACCCGCGGGUUCAUCUCGAUCACCACCA
RNAcentral lists this transfer RNA (86 nucleotides) under Halomonas sp. RNAcentral's name for it is "tRNA-Pro". Lineage: Bacteria; Pseudomonadati; Pseudomonadota; Gammaproteobacteria; Oceanospirillales; Halomonadaceae. The record is from RNAcentral. RNAcentral also lists the same sequence under 1 other name.